CCCCGCUCAUUCCUGGAGCCAUUUAAGCCACACCCACAAUCUCGUUAGGCCACGCCCACCCAGAAAUCACACCCACAAUAUCUUAGGCCACGCCCACUUAUCGCACACCUUAUUUAGGCCACGCCCAUUUUUUGCUCCGCCCACACCUGGAGCCUUUUAAGCCACACCCAGUUCCAUCCCCAGCCCCUCCCAGUUCAUCCCAGUUUGUCCCAGUUCCCUCCCAGUGUAAACCAGUAAAUCCCAGUUUUCUCCCAGUUCCCUCCCAGUUCCUUCCCAGUAUAAACCAGUCCCUCCCAGUCCCUCCCAGUUCCCUCCCUGUCCAUUCCCAGGGUCUCCCAGUAUAACCCAGUUUAUCCCAGUAUCAUCCCAGCCCAUCCCAGUCCCUCCCAGUAUAAACCAGUAUAACCCAGUCCCUUCCAUUCCUCUCCCAGUUCCCUCCCAGUCCAUCCCAGUUCCCCUCCAACUCCAUCCCAGUCCAUUCCCAAUUCCCUCCAGUUCAUUCCCAGUAUAAACCGGUAUCCCUCUGUCGCUCCCAGUUCAUCCCAGUAUAAACCAGUAUAAACCAGUUUAUCCCAGUUCCCUCCCAGUUUAUCCCAGUUCCCUCCCACUCCAUUCCAGUUCCCUCCCAGUCCCUCCCAGUUUAUCCCAGUAUAAACCAGUCCCUCCCAGUUCCUCUCAAUCCCUCCCAGUUCCCUCCCAGUCCAUCCCAGUAUAAACCAGUAUAUCCCAGUUCCCUCCCAGUCCAUUCCCAGCGUCUCCCAAUAUAAUCCAGUUUAUCCCAGUAUAAUCCAGUUUAUCCCAGUCCAUUCCCAGUUCCCUCCCAGUAUAUCCCAGUAUAACCCAGUCCCUCCCAGUCCCUCCCAGUUUAUCCCAGUUCCCUCCCAGUCCCUCCCAGUCCAUCCCAGUUCCCUCCCAGUUUAUCCCAGUCCCUCCCAGUUUAUCCCAGUCCCUCCCAGUUUAUCCCAGUCCAUUCCCAGUCCCCUCCCAGUAUAAACCAGUAUAUCCCAGUAUAUCCCAGUUUAUCCCAGUCCAUUC
Long non-coding RNA from Zonotrichia albicollis (white-throated sparrow), 1035 nucleotides. NCBI's taxonomy places the organism in Eukaryota, Metazoa, Chordata, Aves, Passeriformes, Passerellidae. The record is from Ensembl.